This 218-nucleotide long non-coding RNA is filed under the name Elaeis guineensis (African oil palm). Its description in RNAcentral is "long non-coding RNA (EGUI_LNC038102)". Lineage: Eukaryota; Viridiplantae; Streptophyta; Magnoliopsida; Arecales; Arecaceae. The record is from RNAcentral.
CCCUAAUCUCAAGAAGGAAUUCAACUCUGGGUCAUCUUUUUCCUCGGCAUCGCCCAACCUAGGAGGAUGAUCUAAAGAGGAGGCUCCAGGAGAUGCAACAACAGAUUGAUGCACUGCAAGCCCUGCAACGGCCAGAUGAUGACCUGAAAUUCAACAUUGACCCACCAUUCACUCGAUGGUUUAUGAAUGAGCCCCUUCCACCUUGAUAAGAUGCCCCA